RNAcentral lists this long non-coding RNA (672 nucleotides) under Marmota monax (woodchuck). Lineage: Eukaryota; Metazoa; Chordata; Mammalia; Rodentia; Sciuridae. The record is from RNAcentral.
UGUAAUUCAAAUGAAUCAAUGACCAGAAUAUUCAAUUGAACUUGGAUCACUAUAUUUUGAAUUAAUUUCAAAUUGAAGCAAAGAAUAAUAUAGGUGGUUAAAGGAAUGAUAUUGUUCUUUUGCAAGAGAAAAUUUACACAAAAAAUAAGGUUAAGUUAUAUCGAAGUUUAAGUAUAUUAUUAUUUAUUGUACCAAUUAUCCUUGUAGUACCCAGUUGCUUUGUAAUUAAAGUAGUUGGAGUAGUACUAGUCAGUUUCCUCUCCUGUAAAAUUUGGAAAUGUCAGGAGAACACUAAAGCAGGAAAAAUAUCAAAACAUCAACAUCUAGGCAGAUAUUUUCAAACUACAGAAAAUUAAAGAAAAAAAAAAUAUUUAAAGAAGCGACAGUAGAAAAACACCUAGACUAUAUAUGAACAAAGAUAAGAAUUGCUUCCAAAUUCUCCCCAGAAGUCAUGCAAGCAAUAAGAAUGUAGAGUGAAAUGUUUAAAAUGUUGAAAGAAAAAAUACAGCAACAUAGAAUUCUUUAGCCUGUGAAACAGUUAUUCAAAAGUGAAGGAGAAAUACCUUCUUAGACAAAAAUGGAAGGAAUUUAUUACCAAAAGAUGCACCAACAAUAAAGCCCAGUGGCCCCAGUGGCAUAUUCUUAUAAUCCCAGUGAAUCAGGAGCCAGAGG